Long non-coding RNA from Phalaenopsis equestris, 198 nucleotides. RefSeq lists it as uncharacterized. Lineage: Eukaryota; Viridiplantae; Streptophyta; Magnoliopsida; Asparagales; Orchidaceae. The record is from RefSeq and is a predicted model, not a curated record. The transcript is spliced from 3 exons.
GCGUGAUGGUGGAACUGUGGAUAUUGAAGAAGAUGUGCUUCAUGCACUUCAGGCCGAAUUGGGGCAGUUGUGCAUGAAUGAUAAUCUUGAGAUGACAUACAGACCACUAUAUGAUGUCAUUCAGGGAAUUGUAGGUUGGAUCAAUAUCAGGAAAGAUAAUUUGCAGAGAUGUGAAUUUGAGCAUUAUUUGUCAACGUG